AAGUCGUAACAAGGUUUCCGUAGGUGAACCUGCGGAAGGAUCAUUACCUAGAGUUGUAGGCUUUGCCUGCUAUCUCUUACCCAUGUCUUUUGAGUACCUUACGUUUCCUCGGUGGGUUCGCCCACCGAUUGGACAAAUUUAAACCCUUUGCAGUUGAAAUCAGCGUCUGAAAAAACUUAAUAGUUACAACUUUCAACAACGGAUCUCUUGGUUCUGGCAUCGAUGAAGAACGCAGCGAAAUGCGAUAAGUAGUGUGAAUUGCAGAAUUCAGUGAAUCAUCGAAUCUUUGAACGCACAUUGCGCCCCUUGGUAUUCCAUGGGGCAUGCCUGUUCGAGCGUCAUUUGUACCUUCAAGCUCUGCUUGGUGUUGGGUGUUUGUCUCCUGUAGACUCGCCUUAAAACAAUUGGCAGCCGGCGUAUUGAUUUCGGAGCGCAGUACAUCUCGCGCUUUGCACUCAUAACGACGACAUCCAAAAGUACAUUUUUACACUCUUGACCUCGGAUCAGGUAGGGAUACCCGCUGAACUUAAG
Molecule: ribosomal RNA, 531 nt
Filed under: Ampelomyces sp. F112
Lineage: Eukaryota; Fungi; Ascomycota; Dothideomycetes; Pleosporales; Phaeosphaeriaceae
Also listed under: 1 other name
Description: eukaryotic LSU rRNA
Rfam family: 5.8S ribosomal RNA (bases 188-341)
Source: RNAcentral